UCCGCUAUGGUCCAGUGGUUAGGAUUUCUGGCUUUCAUGAAAGUGAAAGUUCUCAGACGGCCCGGAUUCGAAUUCCGGUAGCGGAA
Aaosphaeria arxii CBS 175.79 is the source of this 86-nucleotide non-coding RNA. NCBI's taxonomy places the organism in Eukaryota, Fungi, Ascomycota, Dothideomycetes, Pleosporales. The record is from the annotation of a RefSeq genome assembly.